RNAcentral lists this ribosomal RNA (547 nucleotides) under uncultured Glomeromycotina. Its description in RNAcentral is "SSU rRNA". It matches the Rfam family "Eukaryotic small subunit ribosomal RNA", at positions 548 to 1098 of the family's 1831-position model. The record is from RNAcentral. Lineage: Eukaryota; Fungi; Glomeromycota.
UUGGAGGCAGUCUGGUGCCAGCAGCCGCGGUAAUUCCAGCUCCAAUAGCGUAUAUUAAAGUUGUUGCAGUUAAAAAGCUCGUAGUUGAAUUUCGGGAUCAGCAAGUUGGUCGUGCCUCUGGUACGUACUGACUUUACUGGUUCCUCCUUCUUGAAGAACUGCAAUGUCAUUAAUUUGGUGUUGCAGGGAAACAGGACUGUUACUUUGAAAAAAUUAGAGUGUUUAAAGCAAGCUAACGCUUGAAUACAUUAGCAUGGAAUAAUGAAAUAGGACGUUUGAUCCUAUUUUGUUGGUUUCUAGGAUUGACGUAAUGAUUAAUAGGGAUAGUUGGGGGCAUUAGUAUUCAAUUGUCAGAGGUGAAGUUCUUGGAUUUAUUGAAGACUAACUACUGCGAAAGCAUUUGCCAAGGAUGUUUUCAUUAAUCAAGAACGAAAGUUAGGGGAUCGAAGACGAUCAGAUACCGUCGUAGUCUUAACCAUAAACUAUGCCGACUAGGGAUCGGAUGAUGUUAAUUUUUUAAUGACUCAUUCGGCGCCUUACGGGAAAC